UAUUAUUCUGAAAUUAUGCAGACCACCGUGAAUCCUCAACAUGUUCUACUAGCUGAUAAUGACUUUCAUAACCAUAGAUAUUGUUCCUAUCAUCACUUGUUUCGCCAUAUGGAAAUGGACUCCCAAACAAAUAAUCAGCACUCCCUUUCCAUUGAUUGCUGUCAUUUCCACAAUCCCCCAUUUCUUGAAAAUCUUCCACUCUCCUUCCAUAACGAGACAGGCAAGGCCAGUACCCAAAUAUACCUUCACAAAGAUCCAUAGCUUCUAACCCAUACCCAGAUGGAAUUUGAGGGACAAUCACUUGUUUCUCAUACUCAUAAUCGAUUUCUCCCCUUGAUCCAUCACCAUACCCUUCCUUGGUUUCUUCUCCUUGGCGAUUGCCAUGAUCAUGCUCAUACUCAUCGAGCUGCCGUAGCUGCUGCUUCUCUGUCUCGUUGAUGGAAGUUGGUUUGCUUUCAGUCUGGGGUGUUGCUGUAUGCUCUUCAUGUUCCUUUUUCUCAAUAGGUGCUGUGAUCGGCCCAGAAGAGACACCAUUUGAAGGUAAAGUAGCUGGAUCAGGUGUAGAGCGAGCAUAACAAGUUUCAGCAGAAGGGGGAAGGGGUUUGCCGUAGGUUAGAGUAAGAUCAUAGCCACCGCCAUAAGGUGUUGGAUCAUAGUCUUCAAAAUCAGGCUCAUUAAACUCUGAAACAGAGUAAGAGACUAUGAACCGAGUCUGAGCAGGAAAAUAAAGAGCAGGGUCAUACUGAAUAUUCUUAGGCUCGCAGGAAGUGUAUACAGAAUAUGCAGUUCUUGAGCAGCUUGAAACUGGAUCAUAAGCAGCAGCAAAAAGGGGAAUCGGAUCAUAGGCAAAAAUU
This 854-nucleotide unclassified non-coding RNA is filed under the name Hevea brasiliensis (rubber tree). The record is from RNAcentral. Lineage: Eukaryota; Viridiplantae; Streptophyta; Magnoliopsida; Malpighiales; Euphorbiaceae.